This 253-nucleotide ribosomal RNA is filed under the name uncultured bacterium. RNAcentral's name for it is "partial 16S ribosomal RNA". It matches the Rfam family "Bacterial small subunit ribosomal RNA", at positions 524 to 776 of the family's 1533-position model. The record is from RNAcentral.
UACGGGGGGGGCAAGCGUUGUUCGGAAUUACUGGGCGUAAAGGGCUCGUAGGUGGCCAACUAAGUCAGACGUGAAAUCCCUCAGCUUAACUGGGGAACUGCGUCUGAUACUGGAUGGCUUGAGUUUGGGAGAGGGAUGCGGAAUUCCCGGUGUAGUGGUGAAAUGCGUAGAGAUCGGGUGGAACACCAGUGGCGAAGGCGGCUUGCUGGGCCGGACCUGACGCUGAGGCGCGAAGGCGUGGGGAGCGAACGGG